CCUAACACAUGCAAGUCGAACGGUAACAGGAAGAAGCUUGCUUCUUUGCUGACGAGUGGCGGACGGGUGAGUAAUGUCUGGGAAACUGCCUGAUGGAGGGGGAUAACUACUGGAAACGGUAGCUAAUACCGCAUAAUGUCGCAAGACCAAAGAGGGGGACCUUCGGGCCUCUUGCCAUCGGAUGUGCCCAGAUGGGAUUAGCUUGUUGGUGGGGUAACGGCUCACCAAGGCGACGAUCCCUAGCUGGUCUGAGAGGAUGACCAGCCACACUGGAACUGAGACACGGUCCAGACUCCUACGGGAGGCAGCAGUGGGGAAUAUUGCACAAUGGGCGCAAGCCUGAUGCAGCCAUGCCGCGUGUAUGAAGAAGGCCUUCGGGUUGUAAAGAAGAUCAGCGGGGAGGAAGGGAGUAAAGUUAAUACCUUUGCUCAUUGACGUUACCCGCAGAAGAAGCACCGGCUAACUCCGUGCCAGCAGCCGCGGUAAUACGGAGGGUGCAAGCGUUAAUCGGAAUUACUGGGCGUAAAGCGCACGCAGGCGGU
Molecule: ribosomal RNA, 542 nt
Filed under: uncultured bacterium
Lineage: Bacteria
Description: bacterial SSU rRNA
Rfam family: Bacterial small subunit ribosomal RNA
Source: RNAcentral